This is a non-coding RNA of Pelobates cultripes (western spadefoot toad), 201 nucleotides long. NCBI's taxonomy places the organism in Eukaryota, Metazoa, Chordata, Amphibia, Anura, Pelobatidae. The record is from the annotation of a GenBank genome assembly.
CACAGUGUCCCAUAGUAGUUAGGGUGCCGUGCGGCCAGUACAGCUCACACAAGCAAACAGCUGAUAAACUGGCCGCACGGAGGAAAUGUGUGUGUGUGUGACUGUCUGCCUGUAACUGAGUGUGUGACUGUCUGUCUGUAACUGAGUGUGUGACUGUCUGCCUGUAAAUGUGUGUGUGGGGCUGCAGGGAUUUUGUAGAAG